This 692-nucleotide ribosomal RNA is filed under the name uncultured bacterium. RNAcentral's name for it is "bacterial SSU rRNA". It matches the Rfam family "Bacterial small subunit ribosomal RNA", at positions 505 to 1189 of the family's 1533-position model. The record is from RNAcentral.
GUGCCAGCCGCCGCGGUAAUACAGAGGUCCCAAGCGUUGUUCGGAUUCACUGGGCGUAAAGGGUGCGUANGUGGCCAGGUAAGUCGGUGUGAAAGCUCGAGCUUAACUUCAAAUGUCAUUGAAUACUAUCUGGCUAGAGGGUCGGAGGGGAGACUGGAAUUCUCGGUGUAGCCAGUGAAAUGCGUAGAUAUCGAGAGGAACACCAGUGGCGAAGGCGAGUCUCUGGACGACACCUGACACUGAGGCACGAAAGCUAGGGGAGCAAACAGGAUUAGAUACCCUGGUAGUCCUAGCUGUAAACGGUGCACGUUUGCUGUAAGAGGAAUCGACCCCUUUUGUGGCGAAGCUAACGCGCUAAACGUGCCGCCUGGGGAGUACGGUCGCAAGAUUAGAACUCAAGGAAAUUGACGGGGGCCUGCACAAGCGGUGGAGUAUGUGGCUUAAUUCGAUGCAACGCGAAGAACCUUACCUGGCCUUGACAUGCACGUGGUAGGAGCCUGAAAGGGUAACGAUCCCGCAAGGGAAGCGUGCACAGGUGCUGCAUGGCUGUCGUCAGCUCGUGUCGUGAGAUGUUGGGUUAAGUCCCGCAACGAGCGCAACCCUUGUGUCCUGUUGCCACCCUAACGAGAGUUGGGAGCACUCUGGACAGACUGGCUCGCUUAAACGAGGAGGAACGUGGGGAUGACGGCCAA